This 421-nucleotide ribosomal RNA is filed under the name uncultured bacterium. RNAcentral's name for it is "bacterial SSU rRNA". It matches the Rfam family "Bacterial small subunit ribosomal RNA", at positions 958 to 1392 of the family's 1533-position model. The record is from RNAcentral.
AACGCGAAGAACCUUACCAGGGCUUGACAUGUACCGGAAAACGGCGGAAACGUCGUCCUCCCGCAAGGGACCGGUAUGCAGGUGUUGCAUGGCUGUCGUCAGCUCGUGUCGUGAGAUGUUGGGUUAAGUCCCGCAACGAGCGCAACCCCCGUGGCAUGUUGUAUCUCUCAUGCCAGACUGCCGAGAGAAACUCGGAGGAAGGUGGGGAUGACGCCAAGUCAGCAUGGCCCUUAUGCCCUGGGCUACACACACGCUACAAUGGCCGGUACAACGGGUUGCCAAACCGCGAGGUGGAGCUAAUCCCCUAAAGCCGGUCUCAGUUCGGAUUGCAGGCUGCGACUCGCCUGCAUGAAGCCGGAGUUGCUAGUAACCGCAGGUCAGCACACUGCGGUGAAUAUGUUCCCGGGCCUUGUACACACCG